Molecule: ribosomal RNA, 752 nt
Filed under: uncultured bacterium
Lineage: Bacteria
Description: bacterial SSU rRNA
Rfam family: Bacterial small subunit ribosomal RNA
Source: RNAcentral
AGAGUUUGAUCAUGGCUCAGAACGAACGCUGGCGGCAUGCCUAACACAUGCAAGUCGAACGUGAUCUGUUCCUUCGGGGAUGGUGAAAGUGGCAGACGGGUGAGUAACGCGUGGGAACCUGCCCCAAGGUAGGGAAUAACCGCGGGAAACUGCGGCUAAUACCCUAUGUGCCCUACGGGGCAAAGAUUUAUCGCCUUGGGAGGGGCCCGCGUCGGAUUAGGUAGUUGGUAGGGUAACGGCCUACCAAGCCUACGAUCCGUAGCUGGUCUGAGAGGAUGAUCAGCCACACUGGGACUGAGAUACGGCCCAGACUCCUACGGGAGGCAGCAGUGGGGAAUAUUGGACAAUGGGGGCAACCCUGAUCCAGCAAUGCCGCGUGAGUGAUGAAGGCCUUCGGGUUGUAAAGCUCUUUCGGCGGGGAAGAUGAUGACGGUACCCGCAGAAGAAGCCCCGGCUAACUUCGUGCCAGCAGCCGCGGUAAUACGAAGGGGGCUAGCGUUGUUCGGAAUUACUGGGCGUAAAGGGCGCGUAGGCUGUGCUGUAAGUCAGGCGUGAAAUCCCCGGGCUCAACCUGGGAAUUGCGCAUGAUACUGCGGCGCUGGAAGGCGGGAGAGGAUGGCGGAAUUCCCAGUGUAGAGGUGAAAUUCGUAGAUAUUGGGAAGAACACCGGGCGAAGGCGGCCAUCUGGCCCGCAAUUGACGCUGAGGCGCGAAAGCGUGGGGAGCAAACAGGAUUAGAUACCCCCGUAGUCC